This is a long non-coding RNA of Neopelma chrysocephalum (saffron-crested tyrant-manakin), 116 nucleotides long. RefSeq lists it as uncharacterized. The record is from RefSeq and is a predicted model, not a curated record. NCBI's taxonomy places the organism in Eukaryota, Metazoa, Chordata, Aves, Passeriformes, Pipridae. The transcript is spliced from 3 exons.
AAUCUGGUCUGAAAAACCACUCGGAGACUUUUGUAUCUCUAAGCAGCAAGGUAUUUGUUUUAUUCAACCUUGGGAACAAGCCAGCUCGCGCUAGACAAACUUGCUCCAAGGCUUCA